AAAACAAGAUUGAACGCUAGCGGGAUGCCUUACACAUGCAAGUCGAACGGCAGCACGGACUUCGGUCUGGUGGCGAGUGGCGAACGGGUGAGUAAUGUAUCGGAACGUGCCCAGUAGCGGGGGAUAACUACGCGAAAGCGUAGCUAAUACCGCAUACGCCCUACGGGGGAAAGCAGGGGAUCGCAAGACCUUGCACUAUUGGAGCGGCCGAUAUCGGAUUAGCUAGUUGGUGGGGUAACGGCUCACCAAGGCGACGAUCCGUAGCUGGUUUGAGAGGACGACCAGCCACACUGGGACUGAGACACGGCCCAG
This 312-nucleotide ribosomal RNA is filed under the name uncultured bacterium. RNAcentral's name for it is "bacterial SSU rRNA". It matches the Rfam family "Bacterial small subunit ribosomal RNA", at positions 26 to 334 of the family's 1533-position model. The record is from RNAcentral.